CAAUAGCGUAUAUUAAAGUUGUUGCAGUUAAAAAGCUCGUAGUUGGAUUUCUGGUGGGAGCGAUCGGUCUGGCGCUUAGCGCGAGUACUUGCAUCGUCUCCGGCCAUCCUUGGGGAGAGUCUGUCUGGCAUUAGGUUGUCGGGCAGAGGAUCCUCAUCGUUUACUGUGAAAAAAUUAGAGUGUUCAAAGCAGGCUUAUGCCGUUGAAUAUAUUAGCAUGGAAUAAUAAGAUAGGACUUUGGUACUAUUUUGUUGGUUUGCGCACCAAAGUAAUGAUUAAUAGGGACAGUUAGGGGUAUUCGUAUUCCGUUGUCAGAGGUGAAAUUCUUGGAUUUACGGAAGACGAACUACUGCGAAAGCAUUUACCAAGGAUGUUUUCAUUAA
This 383-nucleotide ribosomal RNA is filed under the name uncultured eukaryote. RNAcentral's name for it is "partial 18S ribosomal RNA". It matches the Rfam family "Eukaryotic small subunit ribosomal RNA", at positions 592 to 976 of the family's 1831-position model. The record is from RNAcentral.